Molecule: long non-coding RNA, 2208 nt
Organism: Callorhinus ursinus (northern fur seal)
Lineage: Eukaryota; Metazoa; Chordata; Mammalia; Carnivora; Otariidae
Source: RefSeq, a predicted model, not a curated record
UUGCAGGAGGCUCAGGAUGAGCUGUAGGGGUCCACCUGCCCCUUGAGGCUGCAGGGAAAAUUGAGAGAGGGUGUCUGGACUCAGGUGGGUCUGAGGCUGCAGGUAUGACUGGGUAUGUGAGCACAUAUGCAUAUAAGGUCCCCGGAUUUUAUCAGAUUCUCAAAAGCCAAGGACCACUGCCCCAGAAUUCAAGGAUGUAUUGAGUUAUGUGUAAGAGGUGCAGCCCAUUCUUUCCUGAGCCUCAGGAGAGAAAUUAGAUAAAAAUGGGUCAAGGGGAUCCUUUGCUGACAAUCUUUCCAAUCUCUGGGGGAGGCAUCCCCAAGGAAAAUGGGCACCGCGGCUUCCGGCCACCUGGAUAAAUGCCUCUCCAAAAGGGAGAAGUAUAGUAGAAGCAACCCAUCCUGGCCCCCAGAGCAUCCCAUGAAAUCUGGGGGAUACCCUCCUUUUCCUCCUAUGGGAGGGUCUCCUUGGGAACCAUCAGGGUGGGGUGAGCUAAGAAGGAACCAUUAACACCUUCCUGGUCCCCUCCUUCUGUUUCUGUCGGUGUCCAAUGACCUCUACUGGAUGUUCACCUCCUUGCCCCUCAUCUCAACAGUACUGAAAAGUAAGAUUCUUAUUUCACGUUGCCCUCCCCCCCCAUGCUUUGUUCCCUUUCUUAUCUCUGCUAAUGGGUCCAUUCCUAGCCAUGGAUCAUCUCUGGAGAAAUUUCUUUAAAACCCAGGGACUACUUUCAAAAAGGUGGGGUGUCCUGUGGGAACCAACCUCCCUCCUCAGAUCAGGGAUCUGGGCAAUGAUACGGUGAUGAUGGUGAUGAUAAUAACUAAAAUCCAUUAAGAAUUUCCCAAGUGCUGGGCACUGGAGGCAGCACCUUUAAGGUAUCAUGCUCUGUACUCCCCCACAACAUCUUCACAAAGUAGGCAUUAUUCGUCCCAAGUCUGCGAGGUGCCAACAACACAGGGACACUAAAUACAAGGAGAAGGAUGGUGGCUGCCUUCCCAGCCUAACCCUGAUCCAAUGCAAGUGCCUUCAGCCAUUCGAUUUCCCCUCUGACCCAGACAAUGAGGCUUUGGCUGGUCUCCCCUGUUCACUGCCAAGUCCUAAAUGAUCACCACGCCCCCCCCGGGCUCUGCUCUCAUGGGUUUCUGGUCUCCCCACCUUCUGAUCUGCUGAUUUGUUUCCUCCUUAUGGCCUCGUCUCUCAUGACCCCUUGGAUUCAACACUCUGGACCUCGUCUGCCCCCGUGACCUUGCCUCCCGGACCACCCUUUUCUCUGCAUGGGCAACAUCAGAGAUCCUAGGUUUGCUGAGCCUCCAGGUGUUGAAUGAAGAAACAAGUGGUUGCAAGGAAGAAGGUAAGUUGUGGAUCCGCACCUUUUCCUGCGUAGAGGACAGUGAGGUCCUUCAGCCCGGUUUAUGACAAAGCCCCAAGAAGAGGAGACGCCUCCAGGUAACCACAGGCAGAGCGUUGGUGCCCACGAAGGUAUCCGUGUGAAGGGCAGCUAGGGCCUUCGAGCUGCUCACUGGUGCCAAGGAGAUCCAACACACUGAGGUAGGCGUGGGACCCAUUCCUGCUCCCCUGGAAAUGACACGUCAGUCCCGAGUGUCAGGGCUGCAAGGCCAAAAACCAAGAGAGAGGAAAUCAAGCGAUAAAAGCGAGCAUCCACGUGGCCCAGAUAGUGGCCAGAAGCACUUAAAUAAAAGCCUACUGUUAUUACGUUCACAAAAAUAGAUGAAGAAUUUCACCAGAGAAUUAGAAUUUGUUUAAAAAAAUAGUCAAAUGGCAAUUCCAGGAUUGAAAAUAUGUAACCAAAAUGACGAAUUCAGUGGUUGGGCUUAACAGCAGAGAGCACAAAGAGCAGAGAGAUUAAGGAGCUAGAAAACGGGUCAAGAGGAAUUACUCAAAGUGAAGCACAGUGGAUAAAAUAAUAGGAAAUACAGAAGGAGGCACACAAAACUCAGGGGACACAGUGAAAAGCUGUGACAAGUGAAAUGAGAAUUUAAGAAGGAGAAGUGAGAGAAAAUGAAACAAGUGAUAUGUCAAGAGUUAACGGAUAAAAAUUUUGCAUAUUGGUAAAAAUAAUCAUCAAGCAACAGAUUUUAAAAGUUCUGAGAGGGGCGCCUGGCCGGGCUCAGUCAGAAACGCAUGCAAUUCUUGAUUUCAAGGUCAUGAGUUCGAGUCCCACAGUGGGGGUAGAGAGUACUCAAAAAA